Molecule: long non-coding RNA, 2420 nt
Organism: Heterocephalus glaber (naked mole-rat)
Lineage: Eukaryota; Metazoa; Chordata; Mammalia; Rodentia; Bathyergidae
Source: Ensembl
CAUGGCACUUGGAACUUGGCAGAGGUUUAAAGCAAAACUGGCCAUUAUACAGGAACAGAGAGAACAUUGGACUUGGAGAAGAAGACUGGGGUUCGUGUUCCAUGUCUACUACACAAUUUGGGCAGGGCCUGGCAAGGACACCUCAGCUCUGCUCCACACGGCAUCUGCUAGGAAAUCUGAAAGGCUAGGAGUGCACUCAACAGGUGGGAGUAACUUGACAUCUUGGAGCUGGAGUCAUGUGAAGGCUCACAGACUCAUUCACUUGCACACCUGGUGGUUGAUGCUACUGUACCUCAGCUGUGACUACUGGAUGGACACACGGAAUCAUAGGCCCACAUCAGAGAAAAGGUUAAACAAGAAGAAAAAAUAAGCAGAGUCAUUCCCAAAGUGUGCUACAAGGCAGAGAGGAAAUAACAGACUCUAAGAUCUGAAAUUAAGUAUGAUCAUGGCUCCGAGCCCAGAGGUAGGGAUCUCUGAGCCGCCGUCCCACUGCUCCUGGUCCAGAGGAAGGGGCUUCCCAGCCACCAUCCCUCCUGUUGCUCCCAGCCCAGAGGAAAGGGCUUUUGGGCCGCCUUCUGUCCCACUGCUCCCAGCCCAGAGGAAGGGGCUUCCGAGCCACCAUCCCUACCACCACUCCUGGCCCUUGUCCCACCUGUCUCAGCUCAGAGGAGGUGAUCCUCACAGGUGCCAACAGCACCCCACUGCCCGCCCAGUCAAAAUGAGAAAACAUGUAAAUAAGUCUCAAAACCAGACUUCCAGAUCACCUACAGCAACCCCAAAGGGAAAUGAGAUGGAACACUCUGAUACUCAACCACCUGGACCCACUGAACUGGCAAUAAAAGGGGAUCUGGAAAAAAUGAAAUCGGAAAUAAUUUCUCAGAUAACAGGAGAAAUUGUGCUCCUAGUGCAAGACAUGAUUAAUAAAUCUAGAGAGGAGCUGAGGAACAUGAUGGAAACCCAACACUGGAAACAAAUGGAAUCCAUAAAACAGAUGCAAAUAGAUUUCCAGGACAUGAAAAACUCCAUUGAAAGUCUACACAGCAGAAUGAGCCAAUGUGAGGAUGGAAUUUCAGAUAUAGAAGAUAAGAUUGCAAUUAAUGACCAGGACAAGAAAAAUUGCUUCAAAAUUAUAAGGGAACACAAGAAAUCAAUCCAGCAGCUGCUAGACAAUGCAAAGAAGAAUAACAUAAGACUGAUUGGAGUCAAUGAAGAAAGAGGAGAGAGUGGAGAUGACAUAAAAAAAACUCUCCACAGAAGUAAUGGCAGAAAACUUCCCAAGCAGGGGAAAAGAAUUUGAUAUACAGAUAAGUGAGGCAUAUAGGACUCCAAAUAGCCUUGAUCAAAAAAAUCUACACAUAGGCAUAUAAUUGUUAAGAUUCCAGAAACUCAACAGAAGAACAAAGUUCUACAAGCAGUCAGAGGAAAGAAACAAAUCACAUAAAAAGGAAAGCCCAUCAGAAUCUCAGCAGACUUCUCAAUACAAACCAUCAAGGCAAGAAGAGCUUGGACUGACAUAUUCCAAGCCCUAAAAGAAAACAGCCUCCAACCCAGAUUGAUGUACCCUGCAAAACAAUCUUUCAAAAUGGAUGGAGAAAUAAGAUACUUUCAUGACAAAGAGCACCUUAGGAACUACGUGAAUACAAAACCAGAACUCCAAAAAAUUUUACACAAUGUCCUAGGAACAGACAUUGAGGAUCACAACCCCAGGAAACAAAGCAGAAUGAACCCAUCUGGCGUGACAAGAAAUUAAAUGUAAAGGGGGAGAACCCAACAAAAAGAAAAAGUCAUGGCAAUGACAAGUCAAUACGUUUCAGUUAUAACCAUCAACAUUAAUGGUCUCAAUUCACCAAUCAAAAGAAAUAGACUGGCAGAAUGGGUCAAGAAGCAAAAUCCAACAAUAUGCUGCUACAAGAAACACACUUAAUUCAAAAGGAAACUCAUAGACUGAAAGUUAAAGGGUGGAAAGCAAUACUCCAUGCAACGGGAACCCAAAAAAAAGCAGGAGUAGCUAUCCUCUUUGCAGAUCAAGUAGAUUUCAAACCAACACUGAUUAAGAAAGACAAAGAAGGACACUACAUCCUUAUAAAGGGAAGAAUCCAAGAGGAAGAGAUGACAAUCAUAAAUAUCUAUGCACCAAGCACUAGUGCGCCCAACUAUAUAAAACAAAUACUAAUGGACGUGAAAAGUCAUAUAUGCACUAAUACAAUUGUAGUGGGGGACCUCAACACCCCACUGUCACAAUUAGGUAGAUCAACUAGACUAAAAAUAAGUAAUGAAAUACUAGAACUCAAUCGAACUCUUGAACAAAUGAACUUAACAGAUAUUUAUAGAGUCUUCCACCCCACAAAAUCAGAAUACACAUUCUUCUCAGCUACACAUGGGUCAUUCUCCAAAAUAGACCACAUACUCAUACAUAGAAC